RNAcentral lists this transfer RNA (72 nucleotides) under Candidatus Portnoybacteria bacterium CG10_big_fil_rev_8_21_14_0_10_38_18. Its description in RNAcentral is "tRNA-Glu". It matches the Rfam family "tRNA". From Rfam's summary of the family: Transfer RNA (tRNA) molecules are approximately 80 nucleotides in length. Their secondary structure includes four short double-helical elements and three loops (D, anti-codon, and T loops). Further hydrogen bonds mediate the characteristic L-shaped molecular structure. tRNAs have two regions of fundamental functional importance: the anti-codon, which is responsible for specific mRNA codon recognition, and the 3' end, to which the tRNAs corresponding amino acid is attached (by aminoacyl-tRNA synthetases). tRNAs cope with the degeneracy of the genetic code in two manners: having more than one tRNA (with a specific anti-codon) for a particular amino acid; and 'wobble' base-pairing, i.e. permitting non-standard base-pairing at the 3rd anti-codon position. Lineage: Bacteria; Candidatus Portnoyibacteriota. The record is from RNAcentral.
GGCCCCGUCGUCUAGCGGUUAGGACAUCAGAUUUUCAAUCUGGUAACAGGGGUUCAACUCCCCUCGGGGCUG